Molecule: ribosomal RNA, 253 nt
Filed under: uncultured bacterium
Lineage: Bacteria
Description: partial 16S ribosomal RNA
Rfam family: Bacterial small subunit ribosomal RNA
Source: RNAcentral
UACGUAUGGGGCUAGCGUUGUCCGGAAUCAUUGGGCGUAAAGCGCGUGUAGGCGGUCCGGUAAGUCCGCUGUGAAAGUCGGGGGCUCAACCCUCGGAUGCCGGUGGAUACUGUCGGGCUUGAGUACGGAAGAGGCGAGUGGAAUUCCUGGUGUAGCGGUGAAAUGCGCAGAUAUCAGGAGGAACACCAAUUGCGAAGGCAGCUCGCUGGGACGUUACUGACGCUGAGACGCGAAAGCGUGGGGAGCAAACAGG